GUUAGGAACAUGAGUAUCAGAGGUAAACACAAAAUCUCAGACAGGUGGGAACAGAAAGUACAUGUUGUGGUUAAACGCAUCAAUGAUGGCCCUGUCUAUGUUGUGGAACCCGAGUUGGGAGACGGGCCAAAACGCACCUUACACAGGGAUCUCCUUCUACCGUGUGGGUUCUUACCUGUGGAAGAAAUAGCAGGGAGCAGAUCUCAUGAGCCCUCUAAAGGGAAGAAACUGAGGAACAAAGCCGAAAGAGAAGUAUAAUCUUCUGAUAACCCUGAUGGUCAGGAAGAUGAGGUAUACAGUGAUGAGGACGAAGUAUAUCCAGCUUUUGUGGUUCCAGAAAUAAUAACCAGAGGUCCUUUUAUCCAGACUGAAAGGCAGGUUAUCACACCUCAGUUGUCCACUAGGGAUGUGCAUUUUAGCUUGCCCCGUGCAGAGCGGCAAGACGAGUCACAUGCACAAGAAACAGCUGGUCAUGUUUCUGAACCUGAACCUUCGUUACACUCAGAGAGCAAUGAGGUGACCACAUCUCCCAUUCCAUCUGAUGAAGGUCCAGGUUGGGUUGUUAUUGACAUUCCUGAACAGACAGAACCUGUUGAAAUGAAUCAAGAGAGCACCAACACUGCUGAGCAGAGUUCAGAGCCAGAGACAGUAGAGUUGCGGCGUUCUGGGAGAGAGAGACGCCAACGUCGUAAACUAACUUAUGAUGAGUUAGGUGAGUCUUUAAUUUUAGCUCUCAGUUCCUUUUUGUCAGAGUUUCGCAACUGUAUUCUCUCAGAGCACUUUCCUUCACACACCUGUUAAGUCAAGUGUGCAUGCAGAGACUCAUGCAAUUUAGAGGGGGAGAGUGUAACCCAGGUAAUUUUUUGAGUAUGGGAUUUCUGAUUAUUUGGUAGUCACUGAACGCACCACUGUGCCUUGCCCAUAGCCACCACUAGUUUAGCCACAGAGUUUUUCCUUCCGUUCGUCCGAUGAGGCGCAUGCUGCUCUCGUGCCCUCUGCGAGCUGGAAAUUCGGGAAAAGGAGUCUUGUAGCUGUUACGAACGUGAAGCUGAGCUGAAUCCGACAGCCAUUCGCCAUUACAUGAACCCCUCUGGCUGGUUUGUUUGCCCUUUUGGUGCCCUGGAUCCUACUGGAUGAACUGCCUUGUGGAAGUCCUCAUCUGAUGACUCUGCUGGACCGUCCUGGCUAGUCGAUGGUCAUUACUACGGGUGGAUGCUUCUGCUUGCUGGAUGGUAUUAUUGGACACUACGCCAUUCCAACAGAGCGGUAGGAACAAUUCAAAGGGCCCCAACGAUGCACUUUACUUUUCCCUGAGCUCAGGUGGUUUUCUUUUGGCCAAAGGACCUUGAAGGAUACAUAUAUUUGCAAUUGUUUUUAUCUUUUUUUUCUUGGGACGCUGAGUGGAAAGACACUACAAAAAAGGGCUUAUUAUUUAAAAUUGUGUCUAAUAAAUGUGUUAUGUUAAGUGAGUGUGUUGUCCAUUGUGUGCUGGAAGCCUUACUGUUCCUGUGGUGGAGCAGCUACUACCAAUCUCCUUUACGAAACUAGCCUCUGAUGGGAUACAGAUAUUUGGGACACAUUUGAAUUCUUGUAACCUAUUUCUAGAGAAGCUGUGAUUCUGGGCCUAGACAUCGGGGUGAAAUUGAUGAUACCGACACCUAGUGAACUGCCCAAGGUCAACAGUCCUGAUUUCCA
Long non-coding RNA from Oreochromis aureus, 1695 nucleotides. RefSeq lists it as uncharacterized. The transcript has 3 exons. Lineage: Eukaryota; Metazoa; Chordata; Actinopteri; Cichliformes; Cichlidae. The record is from RefSeq and is a predicted model, not a curated record.